Molecule: long non-coding RNA, 680 nt
Filed under: Cairina moschata (Muscovy duck)
Lineage: Eukaryota; Metazoa; Chordata; Aves; Anseriformes; Anatidae
Description: domestica (muscovy Duck (domestic type)) lncRNA (ENSCMMG00000002079.1)
Source: RNAcentral
UCAGACUCACACAUCAGACAUAGAGAUGAAAAAAGAGAUGAAGAAGAAAAAAAAUAUUGUUUUCACUCAAUCUGUGUUUUCAUUUCCUUUAUGUUUUAGGAGCCAUCAGACAAAAGGGCAAGAGUAGAAACAAAAUCCAUUUCAAAAUGCAGAGAAAAGAAAUGAACAGCAACAACAACAAUGACAAAAAAAGCCAAAAGGCAAUAUGGAACCCUCCAUGGGACAGACCUUCCUUCUCUUGAAGUUUCAAGACUCUCAGUGGAAAGGGGACUGGGCAUUGAGCUUGCCUCUGGAAAAACAAACAAUAAAACAACAAGUUAUAUAGAUCCUUGAAAGUCCAUAAUAUAGUAAUUACUCAUGCAAAUGCAAUAUUGAGACUGCAUAUUGAGAAUGCAUAUUAGUUGGAAAAUGCAUAACAAUGUUUUGUAUUUUCUUUACAAAUAGUGCUUCUGUAUGUGCAAAGUACUGGAUGAUGUGGCAUUGACACUGCAGUGAACAGCAAUACCUUUAGAAGAAGAAUAGAGGGUAUGGAAGGGCUGAGAAAAAGCACUUGAUUAUAAAAUAAAGCACCAAAUCCUUUAUUUGAGAGAGGAUCCCAGUAUAGUAUUAUGUGAUAUUCAGCUUUCAGUGUCAAUCUCUUAGAAUUUCCAUGACAUCAUGAACAUCUUGGGACGGAGUUU